CCUACGGGUGGCUGCAGUGAGGAAUAUUGGUCAAUGGGCGCGAGCCUGAACCAGCCAAGUCGCGUGCGGGAAGACGGUCCUAUGGAUUGUAAACCUCUUUUGCCGGGGAGUAAAAGACGCCACGCGUGGCGUUCCGAGAGUACCCGAAGAAAAAGCAUCGGCUAACUCCGUGCCAGCAGCCGCGGUAAUACGGAGGAGUCAAGCGUUAUCCGGAUUUAUUGGGUUUAAAGGGUGCGUAGGCGGUGCGAUAAGUUAGAGGUGAAAUCCCGGGGCUCAACUCCGGCACUGCCUCUGAUACUGUAGGGCUAGAGUUUAGUUGCGGUAGGCGGAAUGUAUGGUGUAGCGGUGAAAUGCAUAGAGAUCAUACAGAACACCGAUUGCGAAGGCAGCUUACCAGGCUACUUCUGACGUUGAGGCACGAAGGCGUGGGGAGCAAACAGGAUUAGAUACCCGGGUAGUC
This 460-nucleotide ribosomal RNA is filed under the name uncultured bacterium. RNAcentral describes it as "partial 16S ribosomal RNA". It matches the Rfam family "Bacterial small subunit ribosomal RNA", at positions 338 to 795 of the family's 1533-position model. The record is from RNAcentral.